UGCCGCGUGUGUGAAGAAGGCCUUCGGGUUGUAAAGCACUUUCAGCAGUGAGGAAGGUAGUGUACUUAAUACGUGCAUUGCUUGACGUUAGCUGCAGAAGAAGCACCGGCUAACUCCGUGCCAGCAGCCGCGGUAAUACGGAGGGUGCGAGCGUUAAUCGGAAUUACUGGGCGUAAAGCGCAUGCAGGCGGUUUGUUAAGUCAGAUGUGAAAGCCCGGGGCUCAACCUCGGAACCGCAUUUGAAACUGGCAGGCUAGAGUCUUGUAGAGGGGGGUAGAAUUUCAGGUGUAGCGGUGAAAUGCGUAGAGAUCUGAAGGAAUACCAGUGGCGAAGGCGGCCCCCUGGACAAAGACUGACGCUCAGAUGCGAAAGCGUGGGUAGCAAAGCAGGAUUAGAUACCCUGGUAGUCCACGCCGUAAACGAUGUCUACUUGGAGGCUGAGGUUUAAGACUUUGGCUUUCGGAGCUAACGCAU
This 474-nucleotide ribosomal RNA is filed under the name Salinivibrio costicola. Its description in RNAcentral is "bacterial SSU rRNA". It matches the Rfam family "Bacterial small subunit ribosomal RNA", at positions 395 to 860 of the family's 1533-position model. Lineage: Bacteria; Pseudomonadati; Pseudomonadota; Gammaproteobacteria; Vibrionales; Vibrionaceae. The record is from RNAcentral.